This 23-nucleotide non-coding RNA is filed under the name Arabidopsis thaliana (thale cress). The record is from RNAcentral. Lineage: Eukaryota; Viridiplantae; Streptophyta; Magnoliopsida; Brassicales; Brassicaceae.
AACUGAUUAUGCAAUGAAAGUGG